AGCCAUCAUUCAACUCCUAGAUAGUUGGUUGUGGUGAGCGGCGUUGGUGUGUUGCUGCACAUCAGCGCCGUGUU
RNAcentral lists this non-coding RNA (74 nucleotides) under Xenorhabdus ehlersii. The record is from RNAcentral. Lineage: Bacteria; Pseudomonadati; Pseudomonadota; Gammaproteobacteria; Enterobacterales; Morganellaceae.